GACGAACGCUGGCGGCGUGCUUAACACAUGCAAGUCGAACGGAAAGGCCCUGCUUUUGUGGGGUGCUCGAGUGGCGAACGGGUGAGUAACACGUGAGUAACCUGCCCUUGACUUUGGGAUAACUUCAGGAAACUGGGGCUAAUACCGGAUAGCAGCUCCUGCUGCAUGGUGGGGGUUGGAACGUUUCGGCGGUCGGGGAUGGACUCGCGGCUUAUCAGCUUGUUGGUGGGGGAGUGGCUUACCAAGGCUUUGACGGGUAGCCGGCCUGAGAGGGUGACCGGCCACAAUGGGACUGAGAUACGGCCCAGACGCCUACGUUAGGCAGAAGUGGGGAAUAUUGCACAAUGGGCGGGAGCCUGAUGCAGCGACGCCGCGUGCGGGAUGACGGCCUUCGGGUUGUAAACCGCUUUCGCCUGUUACGAAGCGUGAGUGACGGUAAUGGGUAAAGAAGCACCGGCUAACUACGUG
This 468-nucleotide ribosomal RNA is filed under the name uncultured bacterium. Its description in RNAcentral is "partial 16S ribosomal RNA". It matches the Rfam family "Bacterial small subunit ribosomal RNA", at positions 28 to 507 of the family's 1533-position model. The record is from RNAcentral.